GUAGGGAAUCUUCCACAAUGGGCGAAAGCCUGAUGGAGCAACGCCGCGUGUGUGAUGAAGGCUUUAGGGUCGUAAAGCACUGUUGUAUGGGAAGAAAUGCUAGAAUAGGGAAUGAUUCUAGUUCGACGGUACCAUACCAGAAAGGGACGGCUAAAUACGUGCCAGCAGCCGCGGUAAUACGUAUGUCCCGAGCGUUAUCCGGAUUUAUUGGGCGUAAAGCGAGCGCAGACGGUUGAUUAAGUCUGAUGUGAAAGCCCGGAGCUCAACUCCGGAAUGGCAUUGGAAACUGGUUAACUUGAGUGUUGUAGAGGUAAGUGGAACUCCAUGUGUAGCGGUGGAAUGCGUAGAUAUAUGGAAGAACACCAGUGGCGAAGGCGGCUUACUGGACAACAACUGACGUUGAGGCUCGAAAGUGUGGGUAGCAAACAGGAUUAGAAACCCUAGUAGUCCC
RNAcentral lists this ribosomal RNA (451 nucleotides) under uncultured bacterium. RNAcentral describes it as "bacterial SSU rRNA". It matches the Rfam family "Bacterial small subunit ribosomal RNA", at positions 354 to 797 of the family's 1533-position model. The record is from RNAcentral.